RNAcentral lists this ribosomal RNA (674 nucleotides) under Tetracapsuloides bryosalmonae. Its description in RNAcentral is "SSU rRNA". It matches the Rfam family "Eukaryotic small subunit ribosomal RNA", at positions 280 to 900 of the family's 1831-position model. The record is from RNAcentral. Lineage: Eukaryota; Metazoa; Cnidaria; Myxozoa; Malacovalvulida; Saccosporidae.
UGUGCCGACGACAGAUCAAACAAGAUCGCGCCCUAUCAAUUUGUUGUUAGGAUAUUUUCCUAACAAGGUUGUAACGGGUGACGGGGAAUCAGGGUUUGAUUCCGGAGAGGGAGCAUGAGAUAUAGCUACCACAUCUAAGGAAGGCAGCAGGCGCGCAAAUUACCCACUCCCGACACGGGGAGGUAGUGACGAGAAAUAUCGGCUCCUAUUCAAUUGAGUAGGAGACCGAAAUGGACGAAAUUCAGGUCCAUUCGUGAGUAACAAGCAGAGGGCAAGUCUGGUGCCAGCAGCCGCGGUAAUUCCAGCUCUGCACGCAUAUGCGAGAUUUGUUGCAUUUAAAAAGCUCGUAGUCGGACGGUUCCACAAUUUUGUCGAUUGGACACUGCAUGUGCUGCAUAAUUUUGUCUACCUAACUAAGGAGGCAACAAAAUUUUUGUUAGUUCACUACAGUGCUCUUAAUAUUGACUAGUUGUGGACAAACGCAAGCUCCUGAUCUGCCCUUAAUUGGGUGUAUCAGCUGUAAGUUUGCGGACGUACCUUGAACAAAUCGGCUUGUUCAAAGUAGGCCUAGUGCCUGGACAUUCUAGCAUGGAAUGUUCGAUCGAGACCUGAUCGUUUGGUCGGAAACGAGUAAGGUCCAGGUCAAAAGAGACAUUUGGGGGCAUAAGAACUCG